UGAGGACUCCCACCAUGACCAAAGACAACUGGCGUCGUGUUCACGGGACCAGCGAUGGGAGGUGGAUGAAGCAACAGAAUGGGCCAUGGGCGGAGGAAUUGAGGAGGACAUUAUGUGCAUGGACGUGCAUGUCAAACUGAGCUCAUGCAGGGCAGACAGCAUGGCUGAAUUCCUUGACUUCAACUGUGAGUCAUCUGUUCGCACAUGAAUUCAGGACCUCCAUGAAGACAUCUGCAAUUACUACUGCCAACCAUGGUUUAUCACAUGAAGCUCUCUCUCUCUCUCUCUAGGUCGUCCUCAGACGAGCCUUCUAUCGUUGGGACUUCUCUAGGGUUGGCUUAAGGGUCCAGCAUUCACUGCCAUAAAGGGGAACGGACUCUACUGUCGCGUAGAAGAAGCUAAGUUUGAUUUGACGGGGGAGAUUGGAGUUCAACUUCUUUCAGCACAGUGCCUCCUGCUGUAGUAAGAGGUUGAUGUUCUGGUGGAAUGUUGUAGGUAAGCUGAUGGGCCUGAUAUGGAAUGUUGUGCAUGACAUGGCACAUUCCAAUGUCAAAGCGAUAAGAUGCGGAGUAUGACUGCCCAGAGAAGAGUAGACACAGAGAUAAAAUAGGAAGGAUAAAAAUGUAAAAUGCCUUAGAUCAGGGAUGGGCAACUGGAGGCCCGGGGGCCACAUGCGGCCCACCUCCUCACUCAGUGUGGCCUGAAGACAAAACAGUAAUUAACAAAAAAAAAGAGUAUUUUUUUAACCACUUAUGAAUUAAUCUGUUGUAUUUAUACUGUUGGCCAAUAUAGAACACUCCUAUUCCUUCUAAACAAUAUUGACAUUCAGUUAGCAGCCAACACUGUCCCACAAUCUCUCUCUCUCUUUUUUUUAAUUGCAGUCAAAUCCGUGGUCAUGUGGCCCUCCGAUGGUGGCUAUC
Engraulis encrasicolus (European anchovy) is the source of this 920-nucleotide long non-coding RNA. RefSeq lists it as uncharacterized. The record is from RefSeq and is a predicted model, not a curated record. NCBI's taxonomy places the organism in Eukaryota, Metazoa, Chordata, Actinopteri, Clupeiformes, Engraulidae. The transcript has 3 exons.